GGGGAUCGUUGUCGGAUUACUGGGCGUAAGCGCGCGUAGGUGGCUUGUUAAGUCGGGUGUGAAACCCCGGGCUCAACCUGGGAACGGCAUCCGGAACUGUCAAUCUUGAGUGCGGGAGAGGAAAGUGGAAUUCCCGGUGUAGCGGUGAAAUGCGUACAGAUCGGGAGGAACACCAGUGGCGAACGCGGCCUUCUGGACUGACACUGACCCUGAGGUGCGAAAGCGUGGGUUGCAAACUUUAUUACUUACCCAGGUUGAGUCGCCGGAUGGUAUGUCGACGAGCCUUUGAAAUUACCCACCACUUUGGGAGGAAUGUGACUUAUGGUGUUUACGGCCUGGUAACUUAUCCCGCCUGGUUAAACCCAAAAUGAAUUGACGGGGGGCCCCCAAAA
This 392-nucleotide ribosomal RNA is filed under the name Halomonas sp. alk4. RNAcentral's name for it is "bacterial SSU rRNA". It matches the Rfam family "Bacterial small subunit ribosomal RNA", at positions 533 to 929 of the family's 1533-position model. Lineage: Bacteria; Pseudomonadati; Pseudomonadota; Gammaproteobacteria; Oceanospirillales; Halomonadaceae. The record is from RNAcentral.